Molecule: ribosomal RNA, 429 nt
Filed under: Chloroflexota bacterium
Lineage: Bacteria; Bacillati; Chloroflexota
Description: Chloroflexi bacterium partial 16S ribosomal RNA
Rfam family: Bacterial small subunit ribosomal RNA
Source: RNAcentral
UGGGGAAUAUUGCACAAUGGGCGCAAGCCUGAUGCAGCCAUGCCGCGUGUGUGAAGAAGGCCUUCGGGUUGUAAAGCACUUUCAGCGGGGAGGAAGGCGAUAAGGCUAAUAACCUUGUCGAUUGACGUUACCCGCAGAAGAAGCACCGGCUAACUCCGUGCCAGCAGCCGCGGUAAUACGGAGGGUGCAAGCGUUAAUCGGAAUUACUGGGCGUAAAGCGCACGCAGGCGGUCUGUCAAGUCGGAUGUGAAAUCCCCGGGCUCAACCUGGGAACUGCAUUCGAAACUGGCAGGCUAGAGUCUUGUAGAGGGGGGUAGAAUUCCAGGUGUAGCGGUGAAAUGCGUAGAGAUCUGGAGGAAUACCGGUGGCGAAGGCGGCCCCCUGGACAAAGACUGACGCUCAGGUGCGAAAGCGUGGGGAGCAAACAGG